AUUAGAUACCCUAGGUAGUCCACGCAGUAAACGAUGAAUACUAACUGUCCGGGACGAUUGAGUCCUGGGUGGUACAGCGAAAGCGUUAAGUAUUCCACCUGGGGAGUACGCCGGCAACGGUGAAACUCAAAGGAAUUGACGGGGGCCCGCACAAGCGGAGGAACAUGUGGUUUAAUUCGAUGAUACGCGAGGAACCUUACCCGGGCUCAAACGACGGACGAAUGUUUUUGAAAGGAGGCAGCCCUUCGGGGCGUCCGUCGAGGUGCUGCAUGGUUGUCGUCAGCUCGUGCCGUGAGGUGUCGGCUUAAGUGCCAUAACGAGCGCAACCCCCAUCGCCAGUUACCAUCAAGUGAAGUUGGGGACUCUGGCGAGACUGCCGGCGCAAGCUGCGAGGAAGGCGGGGAUGACGUCAAAUCAGCACGGCCCUUACGUCCGGGGCGACACACGUGUUACAAUGGCAGGUACAGCGGGAAGCCAUGCGGCGACGCAGAGCAGAACCCGAAAACCUGUCUCAGUUCGGAUUGGAGUCUGCAACCCGACUCCAUGAAGCUGGAUUCGCUAGUAAUCGCGCAUCGGCCAUGGCGCGGUGAAUACGUUCCCGGGCCUUGUACACACCGCCCGUCAAGCCAUGGGAGCCGGGGGUACCUGAAGUCCGUAACCGAAAGGAUCGGCCUAGGGUAAAACUGGUGACUGGGGCUAAGUCGUAACAAGGUAAC
RNAcentral lists this ribosomal RNA (716 nucleotides) under uncultured bacterium. RNAcentral's name for it is "bacterial SSU rRNA". It matches the Rfam family "Bacterial small subunit ribosomal RNA", at positions 777 to 1500 of the family's 1533-position model. The record is from RNAcentral.